AUGUCCACAAUGAGAAGGAGCAACAUCCCAUCAUCAUCAGAUCUCAAGCAAAUAGAAGAAAAAAGUAGCACCAACAUGACAAAGAAGAUCAUAAACUUCUCAACUUCAUCAUCAUGUGACCAUAAUGAGAUAAAGAAAGCAGAGGACUCUCUAGAAACAAAUUAUAAGAAGCUAGAGAGGAAAACUACAGAAGACGUCAACGCCAGUGCUGAUGCAUUCAUCAAGAAUUUCAGACAACAGUUGAUGAUUCAAAGGCUUCAAUCCAUUGAAAAUUAUGAGAAAAUGCUUGCAAGAGGCCUUUAA
Non-coding RNA from Vicia faba (fava bean), 303 nucleotides. Lineage: Eukaryota; Viridiplantae; Streptophyta; Magnoliopsida; Fabales; Fabaceae. The record is from the annotation of a GenBank genome assembly.